UGGGGAAUUUUGGACAAUGGGCGAAAGCCUGAUCCAGCAAUGCCGCGUGUGUGAAGAAGGCCUUCGGGUUGUAAAGCACUUUUGCCCGGAAAGAAAUCCUUGGCUCUAAUACAGUCGGGGGAUGACGGUACCGGAAGAAUAAGCACCGGCUAACUACGUGCCAGCAGCCGCGGUAAUACGUAGGGUGCAAGCGUUAAUCGGAAUUACUGGGCGUAAAGCGUGCGCAGGCGGUUUGCUAAGACCGAUGUGAAAUCCCCGGGCUCAACCUGGGAACUGCAUUGGUGACUGGCAGGCUAGAGUAUGGCAGAGGGGGGUAGAAUUCCACGUGUAGCAGUGAAAUGCGUAGAGAUGUGGAGGAAUACCGAUGGCGAAGGCAGCCCCCAUGGGCCAAUACUGACGCUCAUGCACGAAAGCGUAGUCAAGCAAGCAGUUAGGAUAACCCUGGUAGUCCACGCCCUAAACGAUGUNAACUAGUUGUUGGGGAUUCAUUUCCUUAGUAACGUAGCUAACGCGUGAAGUUGACCGCCU
RNAcentral lists this ribosomal RNA (528 nucleotides) under uncultured bacterium. RNAcentral describes it as "partial 16S ribosomal RNA". It matches the Rfam family "Bacterial small subunit ribosomal RNA", at positions 355 to 874 of the family's 1533-position model. The record is from RNAcentral.